Molecule: transfer RNA, 68 nt
Filed under: Calineuria stigmatica
Lineage: Eukaryota; Metazoa; Arthropoda; Insecta; Plecoptera; Perlidae
Description: tRNA-Asp
Source: RNAcentral
AAAGAAUUAGUUAAAAUUAACCUUAGUAUGUCAUACUAAAAUCAUCAGUAUUAAUCUGAUAUUCUUUA